AACAGCAGCAGGAGCAGUAGCAGUGGUGGUGGUGGUGGUGGUAAUAGUGUAGCAGCAGCAGCAGUACUAUUUAUACUAAUAGUAGCCAUAACAGUAACAGCACUGGCAACAGCAGUAGCAGCAGUAGUAAGGAGUAUGGAAGGACGCUAUAACACUACCAUUAUCCCUUCCACAUUGCAACUUUCCCCAUAGCGGUGAUGUGUCAUCAGCAGGCGAGAGAAAUUAAAGGGGGAUUUGAGGAGAGUUUUUCAGAAGCCAAAGAUAACAUAAGAAGACUAGCAGAUGACACAGAGCCUAUGACCAAAUACUUAGCCCAGAUUUUACAGGAGGUUCCUAUAAACACCUCAUGAGAGAAAAAGAAAAAAAUCAGACUUCUUCUUUAGUAUGAAGAUAGGGUCAAAAAAUCUUGUGUAGAUUUUCCAGAUCAGAGAGGCUCUGCUCCCCAACCCCUGUGAUGUGGAAGAGGAUAACUGUAAUUAGCACCAGAACCAGAAUUCCAGAGGACUGAUGGUGACUAAUACUUCCUGCCUAUCAACAGAGAAGUGAUGGACUUUUGGUAUAGAACGAGACAUACACUGUCACAUGUGGCCCUGUGUAAGUUGCUUGGUUUUGCUCUAUUUCUUGGUUACAUUUGUUACAUAUCUUUGUUUCUUUGUACCUAUGGGAGAGAGGGUAGGCAAGUCAUUGUGAAGUUUCAACAGUGUUAAAAAGCCCGAGUCCUCCCUACAGAGGUUUCAUGAGACAAAGAAACCGAGAGGGUCUUCACAAACAACAGAACCCCAGUGCAAAACAUUUCAAAAGAAAAGAAUUCUUGCUAAGUGCAAAAAAUACUGUAUCAAGAAUACUGUCCUGCCAUUGUUUGUCUCUAAACUUUGCUGCUGCUGAAAUCCCAAGGACAAAGGGACAGGAAACAGGAUUGUUCUGGAACAGUCUGGAUGUUAUUCUACCGAGCAUGUUGAUAAAACACAGCUCCUGCACUCUGAGCCAAGGUGGAAGGGAUAGUGUACAUGUGAGAAUGGGCUCAGAUUGGAACCUGGUCUUUUGUUUUGUUCAUCAGCACGGGCCAGCAGCUAUUGACUACAAAAGUUUAUAGGCCAUAUGGGAGCAGGAUCCCCUCAGACUCUUCCCAAACAGAGAAAAGCCAGACUCAACUUAACUGUAUUCAAGAGAGCUCCUCCUAUCAAUUAGGACAAACCCGAUCAUUGAUCUGUACUCAACUUUGUGUUGUUCUCUGAUGAUCAGCACAAUGGGACUCUGUCAGACUACAAAGGGGAAGUCAAUUCUGUCUGAGUCUUCCUGAAAAAAAGAGCUUGUCUCUAGUCUUCUGAUUCACAAAAAGCACAACUGUGAAGCAAAUUUACUGCCACUGACUGAAGCUAAACGGGGGCAGGCCAACUCAUUGUCUCUGGCAAUGGAAAUUACCCAUGAUGGAUAUCAAUGAGUCCAUGAGACUAUUACACAGACAGGCCAACAAAGACAUUGCUAAUGGAUGCCUUGUACCAUCGCUGGCCAUUGGACUGAUCUUAAAUAGCUAAUGAAAAAUAAAAUUUUCUCUAUCUUUGAUCUCAAAGUUGUCUCUUAAAGAAUUCUUUCUUCUUCUUAAUCUGCACCCAUAAAAUUAAGAAAGAAACAUGGAUACUUAUAAUUCUUAAAGGAACAAAAAUGUGAUUUCUUUCUAUAAGACAAUAAUCUGUCCUGCACUUCUUCUGUGUUCUCAUCCUGUUUUGCCUAGACUUUUGAAAUGUCCCCAUACUUAAUCUCCCUGCUUCCAUUCUCAUCUCCUUUCCAAUCCCUGAAAUUGAUGUAUCUAAAGCACAGUUCUUUACCAGUCACUCCUCUCCUGCUCAAGAAGCUUCAAUGAUUCCCUACUUACACUCAUAUAAAACACAAAUUCCUCUGUGUGACA
Sarcophilus harrisii (Tasmanian devil) is the source of this 1906-nucleotide long non-coding RNA. Lineage: Eukaryota; Metazoa; Chordata; Mammalia; Dasyuromorphia; Dasyuridae. The record is from Ensembl.